This 509-nucleotide ribosomal RNA is filed under the name Anaplasma bovis. RNAcentral describes it as "bacterial SSU rRNA". It matches the Rfam family "Bacterial small subunit ribosomal RNA", at positions 112 to 657 of the family's 1533-position model. Lineage: Bacteria; Pseudomonadati; Pseudomonadota; Alphaproteobacteria; Rickettsiales; Anaplasmataceae. The record is from RNAcentral.
UAUGCAUAGGAUCUACCUAGUAGUAUAGGAUAGCCACUAGAAAUGGUGGGUAAUACUGUAUAAUCCCUGCGGGGGAAAGAUUUAUCGCUACAUGAUGAGCCUAUGUUAGAUUAGCUAGUUGGUGGGGUAAUGGCCUACCAAGGCAGUGAUCUAUAGCUGGUCUGAGAGGAUGAUCAGCCACACUGGAACUGAGACACGGUCCAGACUCCUACGGGAGGCAGCAGUGGGGAAUAUUGGACAAUGGGCGCAAGCCUGAUCCAGCUAUGCCGCGUGAGUGAGGAAGGCCUUAGGGUUGUAAAACUCUUUCAGUGGGGAAGAUAAUGACGGUACCCACAGAAGAAGUCCCGGCAAACUCCGUGCCAGCAGCCGCGGUAAUACGGAGGGGGCAAGCGUUGUUCGGAAUUAUUGGGCGUAAAGGGCAUGUAGGUGGUUUGGUAAGUUAAAGGUGAAAUGCCAGGGCUUAACCCUGGAGCUGCUUUUAAUACUGCCAGACUGGAGUCCCGGGAGAA